AAUGAACGUCGGCGGCGUGGAUUAGGCAUGCAAGUCGUACGGUGGUUUCCUUUCGGGGAGGCCACAGUGGCGAAAGGGAGAGUAACGCGUGGUUACAUGCCCUCGAGACCGGGAUAGCGGCGGGAAACUGCCGGUAAUACCGGAUAAUAUCUUUGGAUCAAAGGUGUGAUUCCGCUCGAGGAUUGGACCGCGUUCUAUUAGCUUGUUGGCGGGGUAAUGGCCCACCAAGGCGACGAUGGAUACCGGGUGUGAGAGCAUGGCCCGGCUCACUGGGACUGAGACACUGCCCAGACACCUACGGGUGGCUGCAGUCGAGAAUCUUCGGCAAUGGGGGCAACCCUGACCGAGCGACGCCGCGUGCGGGACGAAGGCCUUCGGGUUGUAAACCGCUGUCAGUUGGGAGGAAAUGCUGGGGGGUUCUCCCCUCAGUUUGACCGAUCUUCAGAGGAAGGACGGGCUAAGUUCGUGCCAGCCGCCGCGGUAA
This 484-nucleotide ribosomal RNA is filed under the name uncultured bacterium. Its description in RNAcentral is "partial 16S ribosomal RNA". It matches the Rfam family "Bacterial small subunit ribosomal RNA", at positions 28 to 523 of the family's 1533-position model. The record is from RNAcentral.